This is a long non-coding RNA of Sander lucioperca (pikeperch), 141 nucleotides long. RefSeq lists it as uncharacterized. The transcript is spliced from 3 exons. The record is from RefSeq and is a predicted model, not a curated record. NCBI's taxonomy places the organism in Eukaryota, Metazoa, Chordata, Actinopteri, Perciformes, Percidae.
UGAGCCAUCUAUUCCUAUAGCUCUGAGUAGUGACGACUUCAUGAGCUUCUUCAAUGAUAAAAUUAUAACAAUUAGAGAUAAAAUUCAUCACUUUUUGCCGUCAACUUCGAACGGUUCACCUUUAAACGCAGAGUUGUUAGA